CUUCAGAAAUCUUUCUUUCCGGGCGCGCGAUCUCCUAUUGCAUAACCAUGUGCUUCCUUUCUUCUCUUCCUCUGCUUACUCUGCUCACUCCGUCGUACCCAGAUUUUUCUCUUCCAGAAGCAACUUGUCAAAUGAAGUUGCGUCCCCCCAAGCCCACAACAGAGAUGAUCACUCUCAAGCUGAGGAUGUUAUCAGCAACGAAGAGUUGAAGAAGCGCAUAUCGAAGCUCGGGGAGGGUGAUGACGGAGCUAUACCAGAGAUCUUUGAGGGGAUAUUGUCGAGAAUAUUAGCAGGGAAGCCUGAAGAAGCUCACGAUGAUUUGAGAAAAGAACUUUUGGGGGAGAGAACAGAGUCAGAUGGAGAGGAAACAGAGUCAGCUGAUGACAGUGAAGAUUUAGAGUUUGAUCUUGAUGAGGAGGACAUGAGUGAGUCCGAUAAAGAAUAGGCUCACAGCAGUUUGUAACCACGUGAACUAGAUCAUGAAUUUAAUAGAGAGGGCAUAUGAAUGUAUUUGGUGCUAAGUUCACAGGCCUUACCAUUUUAUUAUACACUCUUUAAGCACUUAUGUGAUCAUUGGUCAAUAGCUAUGAAGAAAUUACAUAUUCGAACAUGAUUUUUAUGCAUCAAUUGUUAGUUAAUACUAAGAAUUUUCUUCCUUCAA
This is a long non-coding RNA of Neltuma alba, 661 nucleotides long. RefSeq lists it as uncharacterized. NCBI's taxonomy places the organism in Eukaryota, Viridiplantae, Streptophyta, Magnoliopsida, Fabales, Fabaceae. The record is from RefSeq and is a predicted model, not a curated record. The transcript has 2 exons.